Molecule: non-coding RNA, 73 nt
Organism: Stegodyphus dumicola
Lineage: Eukaryota; Metazoa; Arthropoda; Arachnida; Araneae; Eresidae
Source: the annotation of a RefSeq genome assembly
GCCUUUGUAGUGUAGUGGUCAGCACACUGGGUGCAUAUCCCAGAGGUCCGUGGUUUGAUUCCUGGCAAAGGCA